UGAUCUAAGUGCUGAUAAUAGUGGGAGUUUUGAUUGUUUUUUGAGGAGGUUUAUGAUUCCACGGAUUAAAUACACCUUUUUACCAUUCCAACUUCUCUUUUCACUUAAAUUUUUCAAAACGUAUCUUCCCUCCUAUGUUCUCUAAUUCCCACCUUUCCGAAAAAUUUCCCAUACCCAACUUACAUUUUUAUUUUAUUUUUCCCACAUUUUGCACCUUUCCCCCUUUCUUCUUCACGCAAGCCUUUUCCUCUUUUUUCUUAAACCCUAGCAUAAGAGUGAGGUUACCACAAUGAGGAGGAGGCAGCGUCCAGGAAGGCUCCCAGUCCCGAUAACCUAGCGGUUGCUGUUGAAAAUCGCGAGGGAGUCACCAUCGAUGCUAGAGGCCAUCGGAGUUGUGGCGCACGCAGCGUUCCCUGCCGACGUCGAUGACGCCUAUGACUGCCUUGUGAACGUGAAAGAUCUUAAUAUGGAGUGGUUUGAUGCAUCCAUGGACGAGUUCCGGAGGCAUUGGGAGGAGGAAAAAACUGGGCAUUCGGCGAAGCACUCAGAUGGAGGAGGAUGGGUUUCAACUGGUUUCUGAAACGAGUCUGACCACACCUGGACUCACUAUGGCAACUAAGGAUAAGAAGACGAUGAGACCCAAGCCCAAUGUUUCGUUUCAUAUUCCAACGAUAAGGACGUGGACCGCGAUCAACCUUCCGUCACGGUGGAGAAGGCCCAGGCACUGCAGACUCUAGUAGCAGGUCCUCUCUCCUCAAAGAUGACAAAGCUCGCCGCGUGAAAUGUUUUGAAAUAGGUAUGUCCUCUCUCCUUUCAUAUUUUCUCCAAUUCUCUCUACUUAUUGUAUGAAAUGUUUGUGAAAUAGGUAUGUUGAGUGCAUAUCAUCGGCAAUGCAGGGAUUGACUCUGUUUAGAAAUUUAAGAAGAAAGGAAAUUGAUUAUUGCAUUUCUAAAGCAAUCCAUUACAUUGAAAAAGCACAAAAUCCUGAUGGAUAAUGGAGCACAAAAAAAUAGAAAAGGACAUACCUAUGCCACCACUUAUAAAGAGGGAUGCUCUUUGGGGUAUGAUGUUCUUUGUUUAAAAAUAUUGCAUGAUUUCCAUGUUACCUUCGGCAAGCUGCCACUUCAGCGAAUUAUGACUGUUCUUGCUUACAAAACUGAACUUGUUAUUACCCUUUGGAAUUUUAUAAAGAAGUGUCAUGAGAACCAAAAGUGGUCAUCACUCACCUCAAAUGAUGCACCUGGCUGGUUGUUACCUCUGGCUGUAUUCUGUCCUGUCUACAAGUAAAACUUUUUCUCUCUACUCACCAUGAAAUUUUUUUUUUUCUAACCUCUUUUAAUUCUGAAUAUAUUUGUUGGAAAUGGGUCUUAUGAUUCGUGACUAUCAUUUGAAGUCAAAGGAGGUUACAUGAUUACAGAUUUGUUAGUUUUGUAUUUAUUGCCUUUGUUGUACUUAUAUGUAUUUAACUCUUGAAUCAAUAUAAAAUAUACACCUUCUGAGUUCUGAGCAAUUCCCUCAACAUUAUUCUGUGAUCUAAAUCAUUAUACUGUAACCUAUUUUAUCCUAUCUCAGGCACAUGCAUCAAGAAUCAAGGUUGCAUAGUUUUACUUGCUCCAUUGUUGUUACGUGUUCCGUUAAUUUAUAUAAUUUAAAUUAAUGGAAGUUAAAAUCGAUUCUUGAAUAUAUGCAUUAUACGACUAAAAGGACUAUACAAAGUCGAGGUUAUUCGGUUAUUUUUAUAUAUGUUUAAUUCCUUUGAUUUAGAUUUAGGCUAGUUUUUUUAGUAUAACUUGUUUUAUACUUUCGUAUGCACAAUUUCUCUGUCAUCUUUACAAUUUAUUGUCAUCCAUUCAUAAUAGAAAUGAUAUUGAUAUUUUUGUCUCGUAAUUAUUUAGAAAAUGAUAUUAAUACUUUUGUUUCAUCUCUUCGUAAAUUGUUUCUUUUCUAGGAAAACAAAAAAUAUCUUGUGCUGAGAGAGAUGCUAGAAGAUGGAGUUAGGAAGCUCCUGUCCAAUAAGGAGUGUUUGGCAUCAUUGUGUUCUUGAUAUGCAAAUGGGCAUGGAAUAAUCUUGAUGUGUUCAAGUAAUGGUUGAGAUUAAAACUUACUGUGGAUAAGAACUUGAUUGAGGUCUUCCCCAGGGGCAUGGACAAGGACACCCCUAUCCUAUAUGCAGCUAGAGCUUCAAGGACUGAAAACCAGGAUGUCAUUGAUUCAUCAUCAAUUGUGGGAAUUUUAAGUGACCUCAAGGAGGCAAAAACAGGAAUCAUCGAGGUGCAUUUCUUGCCUUUUAAUCAUGUGGACAAGCGCACUACUAUUACCUUUAUUGACGGCAAUGGUGACUGGCACAGAAGUAGCAAAGGUGUUCCUGAGCAAGUACGACUCUGUAUAUAAGCACUACAAUGUGAAUUACAGUAAAACAUUUAAUUGGUCUUAUAGUUUUUGACCAUUCUAGAAUUUUUUUGUCAAUCUUGUAAUAUUAUUUAAACAUUAUGUAUUUUUUUUUUUAUAUUUACAUUGUAAUUAUCAACGAAUGAAUGUAUGUUAUUUUAAA
Long non-coding RNA from Vigna radiata var. radiata (mung bean), 2551 nucleotides. RefSeq lists it as uncharacterized. Lineage: Eukaryota; Viridiplantae; Streptophyta; Magnoliopsida; Fabales; Fabaceae. The record is from RefSeq and is a predicted model, not a curated record. The transcript is spliced from 4 exons.